RNAcentral lists this long non-coding RNA (277 nucleotides) under Crocodylus porosus (Australian saltwater crocodile). Its description in RNAcentral is "lncRNA (ENSCPRG00005001446.1)". The record is from RNAcentral. Lineage: Eukaryota; Metazoa; Chordata; Crocodylia; Crocodylidae.
AGCCUCUCCCUGCUGUGAGAUGAAUUGGGUUUUUACAGAGGCAUCACAGCUCCUUCAUUGAUUCCCUGCUCCAAACUGAAUCCAAAUGUUGUGAAGAAGCAUCGCACAAAUUUCUAAGCAUGUGUGGACAGAAUUGAAGGACAAGGAAAGCAUCGCUGAGACAAGAGACUGCAGACAACCGGGAAGAAGUCUCUUGUGAUUUCUGUUGCAUCUGAAUCCAGUUCAGAAGAGACUGUUGUACAGAUUCAGUAAGGAAUAACAAACAGCAAGGCCACCG